Molecule: non-coding RNA, 521 nt
Organism: Nylanderia fulva
Lineage: Eukaryota; Metazoa; Arthropoda; Insecta; Hymenoptera; Formicidae
Source: RefSeq, a predicted model, not a curated record
UUAUCCCGUAUCUCAAAGUAUACGAGCUUACUUAUGUAUCGGUAUUCUGGAUUGGAUGCUUAAUUAUUUGGACAAGUUGUUAGCCGAGGAAGAAACACAAUUUGUGGAUUUACUAUUAAAUUUGCUUAGCGCUGUCAUAAAUAAAGCGGUUUUCUCUCAUCAAGAUCGAAUUGAUAGACUUAUUAACCUGGAGAACCAAAUUUCGAAUAUUUUUUUGACUUUCAAUACUGAUGCCGAUGAAAAUGAUAUGUAUAAGAAAAUUGAGGAGGAGAUCAAUAAACUGAAACUUGAGGAAAUGGUAUUCAGAGAGAAACGACUUUACAUACCGAAUUCCAAAUUUAUUUUCAAUAAAGCUCGUUCACUUGUUCACAAAUUAAGUAAUGUUAAUCAUAAUCGAUUUUUACAUACUUUAUCAGAACUGUCUGAACAGUUAAAUAGUUAAAAGCAGACGAGAUAUAAUUUAUCUGUAUCAAGAAAGUUUGUCAAAAAAGUUUGAGAAUAACUCAGAAAAUACAAUAUAA